This 449-nucleotide ribosomal RNA is filed under the name Gastrocopta servilis. RNAcentral's name for it is "partial 16S ribosomal RNA". It matches the Rfam family "Bacterial large subunit ribosomal RNA", at positions 1816 to 2597 of the family's 2925-position model. The record is from RNAcentral. Lineage: Eukaryota; Metazoa; Mollusca; Gastropoda; Stylommatophora; Pupillidae.
UAGCUUUAAGUAGAAUUAAAUCAAUUUAAAGUUUCACCUGCCCUGUGAUUUAAUUUAACGGCCGCAGUACUUUGACUGUGCUAAGGUAGCAUAAUAAAUUGGCCUUUAAUUGGGGUCGAGUAUGAAAGGGAUUAUGGGGAAAUGCUGUCUCUUAUAAAUUACAUAAAAUUUACUUAAUAGGUGAAAAUACCUAUGAUUUUAUUUAAGACGAGAAGACCCUAAGAAUUAUAAUUAAAGGGAUUUUUGUCCUUCAUUUUUGUUGGGGCAACAUUGUUAGGAAUUAAACCAACAUUGAUAAAAUUUUUACAUGUCUAUUAUAAUUAGAAAGGUUUUAAUUACCUUAGGGAUAACAGCAUAAUUAUAUCUAUAGAUUGUGACCUCGAUGUUGGACUAGGGACUUUAGUUAUUAGCCAUUACUAAAGAUAGUUCUGUUCGAACUGUAAUACCCU